UACGUAGGGACCAAGCGUUGUUCGGAUUUACUGGGCGUAAAGGGCGCGUAGGCGGCAAUUCAAGUCAUCUGUGAAAUCUCCGGGCUUAACUCGGAACGGUCAGAUGAUACUGCUUUGCUAGAGUGCGGAAGGGGCAAUCGGAAUUCCGGGUGUAGCGGUGAAAUGCGUAGAUAUCCGGAGGAACACCGGUGGCGAAGGCGGCUUCCUGGACCGACACUGACGCUGAGGCGCGAAAGCUAGGGGAGCAAACGGG
This 253-nucleotide ribosomal RNA is filed under the name uncultured bacterium. RNAcentral describes it as "partial 16S ribosomal RNA". It matches the Rfam family "Bacterial small subunit ribosomal RNA", at positions 524 to 776 of the family's 1533-position model. The record is from RNAcentral.